This is a non-coding RNA of Fukomys damarensis (Damara mole-rat), 281 nucleotides long. NCBI's taxonomy places the organism in Eukaryota, Metazoa, Chordata, Mammalia, Rodentia, Bathyergidae. The record is from Rfam.
GCCCCUGUAGUCCCAGGUACUUGGGAGGCUGAGGUGGGAGGAUCGCUUGAAUCCAGAGUUCUGGGUUACAGUCUGCUAUCGGGUGGCUGCACUAAGUUUGGCAUCAAUAUGGUGACCUCCUGGGAGCCGGGGACCACCAGGUUGCCUAAGGAGGGGUGAACUGGCCCAGGUCGGAAAUGGGGCAGGUCAAGAACAUGUGGUUUUUCUGUAAAACUACUCAGCCAUAUAAAUCAGGAACUAGAGACAUUUAUAGCUAAAUUAACAGUGAGGCUGUACUUUUA